Sarcophilus harrisii (Tasmanian devil) is the source of this 95-nucleotide small nucleolar RNA. Its record names the gene SNORD14. It matches the Rfam family "Small nucleolar RNA SNORD14". From Rfam's summary of the family: U14 small nucleolar RNA (U14 snoRNA) is required for early cleavages of eukaryotic precursor rRNAs. Lineage: Eukaryota; Metazoa; Chordata; Mammalia; Dasyuromorphia; Dasyuridae. The record is from Ensembl.
CCGCUAUGAUGAUAGUUUACCCAAACCAUUCGUAGUUUCCACCAGAAGUCUCAUGACUUAUGUUGGCUAAAAUCCUUCCUUGGAUGUCUGAGCGA